CNGAUUUUGGAGGGCAAGUCUGGUGCCAGCAGCCGCGGUAAUUCCAGCUCCAAUAGCGUAUAUUAAAGUUGUUGCAGUUAAAAAGCUCGUAGUUGAAUUUCGGGGUUCUACCGUUGGUCGGGCUAUUGUCUGUACUGGCGUGUAGAAUUUCUACCUUCUGGGGAACUAUCAUGUUAUUAAUUUAGCGUGGUAGGAAACCAGGACCUUUACCUUGAAAAAAUUAGAGUGUUCAAAGCAGGCUUAUGUCUGAAUACAUUAGCAUGGAAUAAUAAAAUAGGACGGUGGUCCUGUUUUGUUGGUUUCUGAAUCACCGUAAUGAUUAAUAGGGAUAGUUGGGGGCAUUAGUAUUCAAUUGUCAGAGGUGAAAUUCUUGGAUUUAUCGAAGACUAACUACUGCGAAAGCAUUUGCCAAGGAUGUUUUCAUUAAUCAAGAACGAAAGUUAGGGGAUCGAAGACGAUCAGAUACCGUCGUAGUCUUAACCAUAAACUAUGCCGACUAGGGAUCGGACGAUGUUAACUUUUCUUGACUCGUUCGGCGCCUUACGGGAAACCAAAGUGUUUGGGUUCAAUCACUAGNGAAUU
RNAcentral lists this ribosomal RNA (582 nucleotides) under uncultured Scutellospora. RNAcentral's name for it is "SSU rRNA". It matches the Rfam family "Eukaryotic small subunit ribosomal RNA", at positions 537 to 1116 of the family's 1831-position model. The record is from RNAcentral. Lineage: Eukaryota; Fungi; Glomeromycota; Glomeromycetes; Diversisporales; Gigasporaceae.